Molecule: ribosomal RNA, 254 nt
Filed under: uncultured bacterium
Lineage: Bacteria
Description: partial 16S ribosomal RNA
Rfam family: Bacterial small subunit ribosomal RNA
Source: RNAcentral
GACGUAGGGCGCGAGCGUUUGUCCGGAUUUAUUGGGCGUAAAGAGCUCGUAGGCGGUUUGUCGCGUCGGGAGUGAAAUCCACUGGCUUAACUGGUGGCUUGCUUUCGAUACGGGCAGACUGGAGGUAUGCAGGGGAGAACGGAAUUCCUGGUGUAGCGGUGAAAUGCGCAGAUAUCAGGAGGAACACCGGUGGCGAAGGCGGUUCUCUGGGCAUGUCCUGACGCUGAGGAGCGAAAGCGUGGGGAGCGAACAGG